ACUAGGGAUGUCAAUGGGUGGGUUUUACCCGGACCAGAACCAGAACCGUUCAUUACCCGUUGAGCUAUAAGCAAUGGUUCUGGUUCUGGUUCUAGACCCGACCCAUUUAGACCCUAAACCUGACGGGUCCAGAUCCGACCCGACCCGUUUGUUAUGGGUCCAGUCCGACCCGACCUGUUUUGCCGCUAACCCACCACCACCCACCCCUCCAUUUUUUUUUUUU
Molecule: long non-coding RNA, 223 nt
Filed under: Salvia miltiorrhiza (redroot sage)
Lineage: Eukaryota; Viridiplantae; Streptophyta; Magnoliopsida; Lamiales; Lamiaceae
Description: long non-coding RNA (SMIL_LNC002976)
Source: RNAcentral